GCGGAAAUAGCUCAGUUGGUAGAGCAACAGCUUCCCAAGCUGUGGGUCGCGGGUUCGAGUCCCGUUUUCCGCUCCA
This 76-nucleotide transfer RNA is filed under the name Acidobacteriota bacterium. RNAcentral's name for it is "tRNA-Gly". It matches the Rfam family "tRNA". Rfam says of the family: Transfer RNA (tRNA) molecules are approximately 80 nucleotides in length. Their secondary structure includes four short double-helical elements and three loops (D, anti-codon, and T loops). Lineage: Bacteria; Pseudomonadati; Acidobacteriota. The record is from RNAcentral. RNAcentral also lists the same sequence under 3 other names.